GACGAACGCUGGCGGCGUGCUUAACACAUGCAAGUCGAACGGAAAGGCCCUGCUUUUGUGGGUUGCUCGAGUGGCGAACAGAUGGGUAACACGUGAGUAACCUGCCCUUGACUUUGGGGUAACUUCAGGAAACUGGGGCUAAUACCGGAUAGGAGCUCCUGCUGCAUGGUGGGGGUUGGAAAGUUUCGGCGGUUGGGGAUGGACUCGCGGCUUAUCAGCUUGUUGGUGGGGUAGUGGCUUACCAAGGCUUUGACGGGUAGCCGGCCUGAGAGGGUGACCGGCCACAUUGGGACUGAGAUACGGCCCAGACUCCUACGGGAGGCAGCAGUGGGGAAUAUUGCACAAUGGGCGGAAGCCUUAUGCAGCAACGCCGCGUGCUGGAUGACGGCCUUCGGGUUGUAAACCGCUUUCGCCUGUGACGAAGCGUGAGUGACGGUAAUGGGUAAAGAAGCACCGGCUAACUACGUG
This 468-nucleotide ribosomal RNA is filed under the name uncultured bacterium. RNAcentral describes it as "partial 16S ribosomal RNA". It matches the Rfam family "Bacterial small subunit ribosomal RNA", at positions 28 to 507 of the family's 1533-position model. The record is from RNAcentral.